Molecule: ribosomal RNA, 236 nt
Filed under: uncultured bacterium
Lineage: Bacteria
Description: partial 16S ribosomal RNA
Rfam family: Bacterial small subunit ribosomal RNA
Source: RNAcentral
AAUCAACGCUGGCGGCGUGCCUAACACAUGCAAGUCGAACGAGAAAGUGGAGCAAUCCAUGAGUACAGUGGCGACCGGGUGAGUAACACGUGACUACCUACCCUUGAGUGGGGAGUAACCUCGGGAAACCGAGGCUAAUACCGCAUAAUAUCGAGAGAUCAAAGAGCAAUCCGCUCUUGGAGGGGGUCGGCGGCUGAUUAGCUAGUUGGUGAGGUAAUAGGCNCACCAAGGCGAAG